CGCACGUAAGUCAGAAACUCAAAGGAAUUGCCGGGGGCCCGCACAAGCGGUGGAGUAUGUGGUUUAAUUUGAUGCAACGCGAAGAACUUUACCAGGGCUUGACAUCCCGCGAAUCUCGGCGAAAGUUGAGAGUGCCUACGGGAACGCGGAGACAGGUGGUGCAUGGCUGUCGUCAGCUCGUGUCGUGAGAUGUUGGGUUAAGUCCCGCAACGAGCGCAACCCUNGUCCUUAGUUGCCAUCCUUAAGUGGGGCACUCUAGGGAGACUGCCGGUGAUAAACCGGAGGAAGGUGGGGAUGACGUCAAGUCAUCAUGCCCCAUAUGUCCUGGGCGACACACGUACUACAAUGGUCGGGACAGCGAGCAGCCAACUUGCGAAAGUGAGCUAAUCUCUCAAACCCGGCCUCAGUUCAGAUUGCAGGCUGCAACUCGCCUGCAUGAAGGAGGAAUCGCUAGUAAUCGCAGGUCAGCAUACUGCGGUGAAUCCGUUCCCGGGCCUUGUACACACCGCCCGUCACACCAUGGAAGUCGGCCAUGCCCGAAGUCAUUACUCUAACCGUUCGCGGAGGAGGGNGCCGAA
RNAcentral lists this ribosomal RNA (578 nucleotides) under Leptolyngbya valderiana BDU 140842. Its description in RNAcentral is "bacterial SSU rRNA". It matches the Rfam family "Bacterial small subunit ribosomal RNA", at positions 883 to 1460 of the family's 1533-position model. The record is from RNAcentral. Lineage: Bacteria; Bacillati; Cyanobacteriota; Cyanophyceae; Leptolyngbyales; Leptolyngbyaceae.